Molecule: long non-coding RNA, 433 nt
Organism: Danio aesculapii
Lineage: Eukaryota; Metazoa; Chordata; Actinopteri; Cypriniformes; Danionidae
Exons: 3
Source: RefSeq, a predicted model, not a curated record
CAUAUUUAUAAAAUGUGUGACCGCUUGAGCUGCUGAAGAUCUUAUUUGAGCGUCGACACUGAGACACUGCAGCACGGAUUGCAGAAGUCACUAUGUUGAGGUCUUUCAGAGCAUCUCUUCCUCUGAUCUUAGUGGUCAUGACUGCGGGGUCUGAUGGUCAGCAGGGUUGGGGAGUGAAUUACAGCCCUUCAUAUGUUUGUGCAUUAAAGGGAUCAACAGUGGAAAUAUCCUGUACUGUAAAAUAUCCUCAUGAUCAUCAGCUCAGAUCAGUCUACUGGACCAAACAUGCUGUAACUGAUGGAGAACCACCAGACCUGUGUUCAGACCCUGAUAAAACAGAAAGAGUUCAGUGUGUCAGUGAAGAUAAAGACACUUCCAGCAUCACUUUGACUGCAGUAACAGAAGCUGAUAAACACAUCUACUACUGCAGAUU